UCUUCCAUGGUCCAGUAAAGUGUUGAAUUAUUUAAUCUUUAUUUUUUUGGCAAUAUUAGUGUUCUUGGGACUUGGGAGUAUAAAGUUUGGGGAGAGGACUCGGUUAAGAUAUAUGCAACUUGCAAGCAGUGAGCAUUUCAUAAACCUAAAAUGUGGGGGCUUGGUGUCUAAAGAUUAUUUUAGGGUGUCGGUCCAUAGAAUCACCCAAUUUGAUAUCAGACGGAUAAUGGAAUGUUGAAAUGGUCACCCGAGCUAAAGUGAGAUUUCUAUUCUUCCUAUUCAUCUCCAUUGUCCUUUAGUUUCACCUCACUUUCUGUUGCUUUUCUUUUUUAAUUGUGACCAUCUAGAUGUUAAUAUAAACAAAGACUAUUAGUAGACAUACUCGGUGGGCUAUUUUUUUUUUUUUUUAAAGACUAACUGAGAAAAAUCUUUAGUAAGGCUUCGCAUCAUCACAGAUUCACAUGUGUGAACAAAGACUAUACAAGCAAAAAAAAGAACUAGACAAUAUGCUAACUAAACAAAGACCAUGACUAUACAGCAUUCACACAAACACCGAUCCAGUUUCUGUUUUUGUCCCUUUCCUCACCCUAGCUUGUAUUAAAGAAUGCUUGGAAUGAAAAAGCGCGGUCCUUGUAUCGCCAAUACUUUAACACAUUAUAUAUGUAUAUAUAUUGUAGUACAAAUAGUAGUCUAAACUCACACACAAUAUUAAGAUGUCAUGGUGAUUCGAACCUGAAACCUCUGGUUUGUCAGAUAAAUUCUCCUCAGCCAUAUAUAAGAGCCUGUUGGGGUUGACAUGCUUGUGACUCAAAUUAUGUGUCCCUUGCAUUACUGUUCAAUAAAAGCAGGAUUGAAUAAUGACCAGUUUUUGUAUUUAAAAAAUAUACAUACAUAUAUAUAUAUAUAUAUUUGUGUCCAACACGACCAAUUUUAGUGAUGGAGAAAAGAUAUAGAGAUGGGAGUGGAUCCACUAUCCCCAAACCAAAUUAAAACUAAACUAAUCUAAUAGGUUUCAAGUGUUUUUAGCUAAAUUUUAGUAAAAAAAUAGAAGGCAUAAUUGUAGAUAUUCUUAAUACCACCACCGUUUUCUUUUUCUUUUUUGUCAAAAUCCCACAACCACCUUCAACCUCACCAGAUCCAAAUCCUGUAACUCCUUUGUAACAAUUACUUUAAUCAAUACAAGACAACAAUUCUCUCAAAUGUCUCUCCGUUUUGCAUUUAUAGAACACGUCCCAACCAUUUACACAAACAUCAACGCGCUCACACGGAUAUGUUUUUAAUGAAAUUAUGAUGCAAAUAAUUACAUACUCGGUUUUGUCCUCAGGCUUUUGGAGAUAUUAUUAGUGUAACAAGUUUCUAUUAAACAACUACAUAUUGGCCCUGGUUUUUGACGAGUUAGUCUAUAAAAUAACGAAUCCUUUUAUUUUGUUGAACCUUACCUAAUACCUACCAUCAUCGACAAUGAUUCCUGUAUAAUUUCAAAAUUUUAUUUUGCAGGACCUCACCUAAUACCUACCAUCAUCGAUAAUGAUACCUUAAUAAUUUGAAAUUUCAGUCUUUUGUUUUCUUUUUGCGUCAAGUACUUUUUGAGUAUUGUGUAUCAAUUUGGAUUUUAAAAAUAUGUUUUGUUACGAAAAAUCUUUGCUGAGAUUUCUGAUAUCCACAUGUGAACAUAGACUUAGACAAAAUACUUAUUAAACAAAGACCGACAAUUCACAAGUCAUUCUUUACUCGAAGUCUAAUUCAUUUCAUGCCCAAAUCAGUGUUUGGUGGUUCCCGACCUCCAUUCACUAUUGUUGAGUUGAGUCACUUUAGGGCAAAUCUAUAUUUCUUUCACUGUUUGAAAUGAAAGGACCCGCCCCGAAUUUUCUCAAAAUCCGAGACGAACCCUUUGGAAUUCCUGACAUCACCCCGAUGCCAGGCCCACUUACAAGAAAACCGAGACUUCCUGCCGAAAUUUCGGCAGAGUCUCCCCUAUAAUUUGGACAUUUCCCAAAAUUUCAACCUGCAUAAAAACACAUUUAAUAUUCCUAACUGGCAGCAUGCACAAUAUAAUUUCAUGCAAAUUCUCAUAUAUGGCUUUCGGCCUUCCAAAAUUCUCAAACAACUACCAAACAAUUCAAAUACCAAUUAUGAUUAAUAUUUAGUCUGCGGCUGCACCUAAUAACCUUAGGCUGCCUACGUACCCUCCUUGAGGGAUCAAGCCACACGUAGUUCUUCCCUAAAACCCAAUUCCACACUUGGGCGAUACCUUAUUUCAUUUUUCUGUAUUUCACAUAUUCUCCCCAUACGCCGGUACAACCAACGCCACGUAUGGGGCCUGUCAACACUCCGGAUAACCUACGCCACGUGCGACCAUGCCAUACUAUCAUAAUACCUCCCCAUACGCCGGUACAACCAACGCAACGUAUGGGGCCUGUCCCAACGCCGGAUAACCUACGCCACGCGGGACCUCAAUAUCAUAUCACAAAUCUCCCCAUACGCCGGUACAACCAACGCCACGUAUGGGGUCUGUUGACACGCCGGAUAACCUACGCCACGUGCGACCUCAACACAAUAUCACAUAAUCUCCCCGUACGCCGGUACAACCAACGCCACGUACGGGGCCUGUCUCAACGCCGGAUAACCUACGCCACGUGAGACCUGAACGUCAUAUUACGAAUCUCCCCAUACGCCGGUACAACCAACGCCACGUAUGGGGUCUGUCCCAACGCCGGAUAACCUACGCCACGUGGGACCUAACUUUCACUUGGUGGUGCAUGUAGUGAAUCCAACAUCCGGGGAGGUACCUAAAGUAGUGCGUAUAGCACUCCAAACUGACAUCCUAAACUCUGUUGUACCCUUGUACAACCAUAUAUAAUUAUAAUCAUAUAAAUUAAUUCUAACAUUGUGUAACCCUCCACAAUCAUCUAGUACCCGAUAAUCUCCCCUAGAAAGGUGAGAUUACUCUGGGAGACUCACGGUCAACCAAGGGUCAAACUUCUCUAACCCUGGUCAAACGGACCUGCAGAACCCACGACCUCCAAUUUCCGAUCCGGAAGUCCCUAUGGGUUCUACCAGGUAUAGGACACUUGUCCUACAAGUUGGGUUCAGAUCGGACGGUCGGAUUUCUCACGAUCGCACGAUCCGACGGUUAAUAUAAAAUAUAAACUUAAAAUUAUUAUUCGGAACAUCCGGGGCUCCGAUUCACGAUCCGUGAAUUCCUACACCAUCCUAGAAUUACCUAGAUUAACAUAUAUUAAAUUUGGGACCAUCCGACGGUCCCAACCUAUCGAACCCGGAUAACGCAUACUAUGCGAUUAUCCGUUCGAUAGUCAAACGACGUCCGAAUUGAGAUCCGCGAAAUCCUACGCACUCGUGACAACCUAAGGAUCUCAUCGGAACACAUCGCUACUUUUUCUACAGUGCCCACGCGCCGCCGCACGCGCCGGCAGCGCGUGGGUGCCCAAAGCGAUAACGCUUCGCCGGAAAAUCUCAACAUCUCGGCUCCAAACUCCUACCCUAGGUAUAACACCCUAUUUGGAGCCACUUUUGUUCUUGGACCUACCCCAAAAAGUGGCCGGAAAUGGCCGAUCAAGGCGGCCGAAGUUUUGGCCGAUUUUCAAUUCGAAAAUCGAGUGAUCUAGAGAUCGAAUCGAUCAAAACCCAACCAACAGGCAGCUAGAACAGCUCGAGAGGUUCAAAAUCCAUACCUGGGUCGACGGAAUUGGUGGCCGGAGGAGGGAGAUCGACGGCGUUGAAGUUUCGACGACUUUCCGGUGGUUUUCUGCAUUUUCCGGCCAGCACAGGCCAUGUCGCCGGCGGGGAACGGUUGGGGAAGGAAGGGGACGUCGUCCCGGUCGUUUUGGUACCGGCCCCGCCCACAGCCGUGGUCGGUGGCCGGAGAUACGAGGAGAGAAAGAGAGAGGGCCGACGGGAGAGAGAGAGAAGUCGCGGGAGAGAGAGAGAGAGAGAGAGAGAAACCAGAUUUUAUAAAAAAAAUCCCAUUUUGAAAUAUUUACGAUUAUGCCACUGGGUUUCUUUUGACCAUAUCUCUCUCGUUACAACUCCGAUUCGAGCCCACUACGUGUCUAUGAACUCGUCUCAGUACGACCUAUCCAAAAAUACAAGUCGCGGU
RNAcentral lists this long non-coding RNA (4117 nucleotides) under Prunus persica (peach). Its description in RNAcentral is "long non-coding RNA (PPER_LNC002374)". Lineage: Eukaryota; Viridiplantae; Streptophyta; Magnoliopsida; Rosales; Rosaceae. The record is from RNAcentral.